This 1303-nucleotide ribosomal RNA is filed under the name uncultured bacterium. RNAcentral describes it as "partial 16S ribosomal RNA". It matches the Rfam family "Bacterial small subunit ribosomal RNA", at positions 1 to 1284 of the family's 1533-position model. The record is from RNAcentral.
AAUGUAUUUUUCUAACAGGUUCGGGCAUUCCUUUUGGGCGAAUUGAAUUUAGCGGCCGCGAAUUCGCCCUUAGAGUUUGAUCCUGGCUGAGGAUGAACGCUGGCGGCGUGCCUAACACAUGCAAGUCAAGGAGAAGUUUCACUUCGGUGAAGCGGAUACUGGCGCACGGGUGAGUAACACGUGGAUAAUCUGCCCUUUACACAGACAUAACUCAGGGAAACUUGAGCUAAUAUCUGAUGAGGCCUCCGGGUCAAAGCUUCGGCGGUAAAGGGUGAGUCUGCGUCUGAUUAGCUAGUUGGUAAGGUAAUGGCUUACCAAGGCGACGAUCAGUAACUGGUCUGAGAGGACGAUCAGUCACACUGGAACUGAGACACGGUCCAGACUCCUACGGGAGGCAGCAGUGAGGAAUUUUGGACAAUGGGGGAAACCCUGAUCCAGCGACGCCGCGUGUGGGAUGAAUGGGUUAUGCCCUGUAAACCACUGUCAGCAGAGAAGAAAAGGUUCCUUUGGAACCCGGGACUGUAUCUGCAGAGGAAGGACCGGCUAACUACGUGCCAGCAGCCGCGGUAAUACGUAGGGUCCAAGCGUUAUCCGGAAUUACUGGGUAUAAAGGGUGCGUAGGCGGUCUUGUGCGUCGAAGGUUAAAGGCCAUGGCUCAACCAUGGAAAUGCCCUCGAUACGGCAAGACUUGAGUAUGAGAGAGGAAGAUGGAAUUCCUGGUGUAGCAGUGAAAUGCGUAGAUAUCAGAGGAACACCGGUGGCGAAGCGGUCUUCUGGCUCAUUACUGACGCUGAGCACGAAAGUGUGGGGAGCGAACAGGAUUAGAUACCCUGGUAGUCCACACCGUAAACGAUGUAUGCUUGGUGUUAGAACAAAUUGUUGUUCUAGUGCCGGAGAUAAUUCGUUAAGCAUACCACCUGGGAAGUACGAUCGCAAGGUUUGAAACUCAAAGGAAUUGACGGGGGCCGCACAAGCGGUGAUUAUGUGGUUUAUUUCGAUGCAACGGCGAAGAACCUUACCAGGCUUGAAGUGUAACGGACUACUGCCGAAAGGUAGUUUCCUUUCGGGUCGUUACAAAGGUGCUGCAUUGCUGUCGUCAGCUCGUGCCUGAGUGUUGGGUUAAGUCCCGCACGAACGCAACCCCUAUCUUAGUUGCCUUCAGGUUUGCUGGAAACUUAAAAAAACUGCCCGCGCAAGCGGAAAUAUGGCGGAAAAACUUCAGUCUUCUUUGGCCUUAUUUCUGCUACCCCGGUUAUUAAGGAAGAAAACAUGGGCCAACCGGCGGGGGGUCAGAAAAUAUUAC